RNAcentral lists this transfer RNA (84 nucleotides) under Bacillus velezensis. RNAcentral describes it as "tRNA-Tyr". It matches the Rfam family "tRNA". From Rfam's summary of the family: Transfer RNA (tRNA) molecules are approximately 80 nucleotides in length. Their secondary structure includes four short double-helical elements and three loops (D, anti-codon, and T loops). Lineage: Bacteria; Bacillati; Bacillota; Bacilli; Caryophanales; Bacillaceae. The record is from RNAcentral.
GGGGGUGUAGAGCGUAAUUGGUAGCGUCCCUGACUGUAAAUCAGGUAACUUCGGUUCUUGAAGGUUCAAAUCCUUCCGCUCCCA